UUAUGUAGAACCAGUAAAUGUAAUCCACAUCAAUAUCUGUAGGAAGUAGUUGUGGUGGGGGAGCAUAGAUUUAGCUCUUUUUAUUUUCAUAUCAUGUGAUCUGCGCAAACUCUUCUUCGGUCUUGGUUUCUUGUUUUAUUUCCUCCUCCCCCAUCACUGGAAGCUUUCAUAUAGACUUCAGUGGAAAAACUGUCAACAGUUUGUCAAUGGAUCAAACCCCUUCAGACAUUGUGUACAAGUUUCAAUGCUAUUUUCACAUUCACUUCCUUUCUUGUUUCCGUGCAGAUAACCCUUUGACGCUAAUGAAUCAGUCUGCACAGCAGACCCACAAUCCACAUUUAGGAGAAUUUUUUGACAGCUGUGUUCAUGACCAUGACUAGUUUGGCAUGAAGGACAUUUCUUUGACCUAAUGUGGCAUCUUAUCUUGAUUUGCAGAGCUUCUUUUCAGGGAAAAGAUUUUUAUUAAAAAAAAAAAAAAAGUCCUUGUCACCAGAGUCUCUCUACCAGCAUUUCAAGCUUUUCAUAAGUAAUGACGAACAACAACAUUUUGUGUUUGCAGAUCAUCAUCAAUCGGGGAUUUAUUUUGCAACAUCAAAACCAAGGUACCGGUUAAAUUCUGACUGUGCUGGGAACGAAAGCUGCUAUGAUGGUUGGCCAGUCUAUGGGAAGUGGUUUUGGUGGCUUUCAUCCCUUCCAAAUAACCAGGUGCACCCAUCAGAAAAGCUGUCAUCACUACAGUUGGGCAAAAAAGUUUUGGGGUGCUUUUUUUUAAAAAAAAAAAAAAAAAUGAAAAAUGGCCCUUUCUAAAUGAAAAACUUUUCACCAAAAAUUUGUUUCAUUUGAAAUUUCUCAGUUUUUCA
This is a long non-coding RNA of Dermochelys coriacea (leatherback sea turtle), 860 nucleotides long. RefSeq lists it as uncharacterized. The transcript is spliced from 3 exons. Lineage: Eukaryota; Metazoa; Chordata; Testudines; Dermochelyidae. The record is from RefSeq and is a predicted model, not a curated record.